AGCCCAAGGUUUCCUGUGCAACGUUCAUCGGCGCAGGGUGAGUCGGCCCCUAAGGUGAGGCAGAAAUGCGUAGCUGAUGGGAAACUGGUUAAUAUUCCAGUACCUUUGUUCAAUGCGAUGUGGGGACGGAGAAGGUUAACUCGGCCGGGUGUUGGACGUCCCGGUUGAAGCGUGUAGACGUGCUGCCUAGGCAAAUCCGGGCGGCUUAGUUGAGGCGUGAUAACGGAACACCCUUUGGGGUGCCAAGUGAGUGAUACCCUGCUUCCAGGAAAAGCCACUAAGCUUCAGUUGAACAAGGACCGUACCGCAAACCGACACAGGUGGGCGGGAUGAAAAUUCCAAGGCGCUUGAGAGAACUCGGGAGAAGGAACUCGGCAAAUUAACACCGUAACUUCGGGAUAAGGUGUACCCCCGGUAUGUGUAGCGCCUCGCGCGUGAAGCAGAUGGGGGUUGCAAAGAAAUGGUGGCUGCGACUGUUUAAUAAAAACACAGCACUCUGCAAACACGAAAGUGGACGUAUAGAGUGUGACGCCUGCCCGGUGCCGGAAGGUUAAAUGAUGGGGUGCAAGCUCUUGAUUGAAGCCCCGGUAAACGGCGGCCGUAACUAUAACGGUCCUAAGGUAGCGAAAUUCCUUGUCGGGUAAGUUCCGACCUGCACGAAUGGCGUAACGAUGGCCACACUGUCUCCUCCCGAGACUCAGCGAAGUUGAAAUGUUUGUGAAGAUGCAAUCUCCCCGCGGCUAGACGGAAAGACCCCGUGCACCUUUACUGUAGCUUUACAUUGGACUUUGACCAUAUCUGUGUAGGAUAGGUGGGAGGCUUUGAAGUGGACUCGCUAGAGUUCAUGGAGCCGACGUUGAAAUACCACCCUGAUGUUGUUGAGGUUCUAACCUAGGUCCAUUAUCUGGAUCGGGGACCGUGUAUGGUAGGCAGUUUGACUGGGGCGGUCUCCUCCCAAAGUGUAACGGAGGAGUACGAAGGUACGCUUGGCACGGUCGGACAUCGUGCCUAAAGUGCAAUGGCAAAAGCGUGCUUAACUGCGAGACCGACAAGUCGAGCAGGUGCGAAAGCAGGUCAUAGUGAUCCGGUGGUUCUGUAUGGAAGGGCCAUCGCUCAACGGAUAAAAGGUACGCCGGGGAUAACAGGCUGAUUCCUCCCAAGAGUUCAUAUCGACGGGGGAGUUUGGCACCUCGAUGUCGGCUCAUCACAUCCUGGGGCUGUAGCCGGUCCCAAGGGUAUGGCUGUUCGCCAUUUAAAGUGGUACGUGAGCUGGGUUUAAAACGUCGUGAGACAGUUUGGUCCCUAUCUGCCGUGGGCGUUGGAAGUUUGAGUGGACCUGCUCCUAGUACGAGAGGACCGGAGUGGACGCACCUCUGGUGUACCGGUUAUGACGCCAGUCGUAUCGCCGGGUAGCUAAGUGCGGAAGAGAUAACCGCUGAAAGCAUCUAAGCGGGAAACUCGCCUCAAGAUGAGACUUCCCGGGGUUUAAAACCCCCUAAAGGUUCGUCGAAGACCACGACGUUGAUAGGUCAGGUGUGGAAGCGCAGUAAUGCGUUAAGCUAACUGAUACUAAUUGACCGUGAGGCUUGAUCCC
Molecule: ribosomal RNA, 1594 nt
Filed under: Nitrosospira sp.
Lineage: Bacteria; Pseudomonadati; Pseudomonadota; Betaproteobacteria; Nitrosomonadales; Nitrosomonadaceae
Description: partial 23S ribosomal RNA
Rfam family: Bacterial large subunit ribosomal RNA
Source: RNAcentral